RNAcentral lists this ribosomal RNA (301 nucleotides) under uncultured bacterium. Its description in RNAcentral is "partial 16S ribosomal RNA". It matches the Rfam family "Bacterial small subunit ribosomal RNA", at positions 509 to 808 of the family's 1533-position model. The record is from RNAcentral.
CAGUGCCGCGGGAAUACGAAGGGGGCUAGCGUUGUUCGGAAUUACUGGGCGUAAAGCGCACGUAGGCGGAUAUUUAAGUCAGGGGUGAAAUCCCAGAGCUCAACUCUGGAACUGCCUUUGAUACUGGGUAUCUUGAGUAUGGAAGAGGUGAGUGGAAUUCCGAGUGUAGAGGUGAAAUUCGUAGAUAUUCGGAGGAACACCAGUGGCGAAGGCGGCUCACUGGUCCAUUACUGACGCUGAGGUGCGAAAGCGUGGGGAGCAAACAGGAUUAGAUACCCCUGUAGUCCCUGUCUCUUAUACA